UAGACCGUCUGAUCCACUAAGUGCAGAUCUACAGUGGGGAACUAUCGGGUAAGUUGUGUUUGUUCGGAGAAGACACCAGUCGUUGAUCUGAUGGUGGAAGAUUAAUGACAGAGAUAAGUAUUUCAUUCGAGGAGAACAGAGGCAUGGAUAACCCCGACCUCAAUCGAUGCCCAAUUGCGAUCAAGCGAUAGAGCAAGGACUAUUGGAUAUAUGAAGAGGAUCAAUGGCGAGGAUUUAAAAUAUCGCACCGCAAAACAUAGCAGUGUUGUAUCGGCGGAAAAUGGAUACAACAUGCAUUGUAGCAGACCUGAUAGAGUUAUAAAUGCAACAUAUGUGGCUUGAACUCCGAUUGCGUUUAUU
RNAcentral lists this unclassified non-coding RNA (360 nucleotides) under uncultured fungus. Its description in RNAcentral is "partial contains 5.8S ribosomal RNA, internal transcribed spacer 2, and large subunit ribosomal RNA". Lineage: Eukaryota; Fungi. The record is from RNAcentral.